This 671-nucleotide ribosomal RNA is filed under the name uncultured Clostridium sp. Its description in RNAcentral is "bacterial SSU rRNA". It matches the Rfam family "Bacterial small subunit ribosomal RNA", at positions 231 to 917 of the family's 1533-position model. The record is from RNAcentral. Lineage: Bacteria; Bacillati; Bacillota; Clostridia; Eubacteriales; Clostridiaceae.
CCGCGGCUGAUUAGCUAGUUGGUAGGGUAAAGGCCUACCAAGGCUGUGAUCGGUAGCCGGCCUGAGAGGGCACACGGCCACACUGGCACUGAAACACGGGCCAGACUCCUACGGGAGGCAGCAGUGGGGAAUCUUGCACAAUGGACGAAAGUCUGAUGCAGCGACGCCGCGUGAGCGAUGAAGCCCUUCGGGGUGUAAAGCUCUUUCGACAGGAACGAUAAUGACGGUACCUGGAGAAGAAGCUGCGGCUAACUACGUGCCAGCAGCCGCGGUAAUACGUAGGCAGCAAGCGUUGUUCGGAAUUACUGGGCGUAAAGCGUGCGUAGGCGGUGGCUCAAGUUUGGUGUGAAAUCUCCCGGCUCAACUGGGAGGGUGCGCCGAAAACUGAGUUGCUCGAGUGUGGGAGAGGUAGGCGGAAUUCCUGGUGUAGCGGUGAAAUGCGUAGAUAUCAGGAGGAACACCGGCGGUGUAGACGGCUUACUGGACCAUAACUGACGCUGAGGCACGAAAGUGUGGGGAGCAAACAGGAUUAGAUACCCUGGUAGUCCACACCCUAAACGAUGCAUACUUGGUGUGAGCCAUUCAUUUUGGUUCGUGCCGGAGCUAACGCGUUAAGUAUGCCGCCUGGGGAGUACGGUCGCAAGGCUGAAACUCAAAAGGAAAUUGACGGG